Molecule: ribosomal RNA, 1557 nt
Filed under: uncultured archaeon
Lineage: Archaea
Description: 16S ribosomal RNA
Rfam family: Archaeal small subunit ribosomal RNA
Source: RNAcentral
CUGGUUGAUCCCGCCGGAGACUACUGCUAUCAGAUUUCGAUUAAACCAUGCGAGGCAUUGGUUAUUUCCAGCAAUGGAGAUGGCCAAGCCAUACUGCUGAGUAACACGUAGCUAAUCUGCCCUAGGGACAGAAAUAACCUCGGGAAACUGAGAAUAAUUUCUGAUGAAUGAUAAUGGCUGGAAGGCCUCUUCAUUUAAAGGCCCGCAAGGGCGCCUUAGGAUGAGGCUGCGGCGGAUUAGGUUGUUGUCUGGGUAAUGACCAGACAAGCCAAUAAUCCGUAGGGGUUGUGAGAGCAAUAGCCUCCAGAUGGAUUCUGAGACAUGAAUCCAGGCCUUAUGGGGCGCAGCAGGUGCGAAACCUUCACAAUGCCUGAAAGGGUGAUGAGGGGAAUCUGAGUGAUUUCACAUUUGUGGAAAUCUUUGCCGAGUUUAGAUAGCUCGGAGAAUAAGGGGUGGGCAAGACGGUUGCCAGCCGCCGCGGUAAUUUGAAGAGCCAGAACAAAAAAAUAAAAUCUGGCAAAUCAGAAAACCUGGUGCAUUAAAUGCAUUGGCGUCUGAUUGGAACAAUGGGUUCUUCAAACCGUAUAUAACCGCGCCCCUAGUGGUAGUCACGUUUAUUGGGUCUAAAGCAUCCGUAGCUGGUUCAGUAAGUCUUCAGUGAAAUCUCAUAGUAAACUAUGAGGCUUGCUGAAGAUACUGCUAGACUUGGGGAUGGGAGAGGUCAGGGGUACUUUUAGGGUAAGGGUAAAAUCUGUUAAUCCUAAAGGGACCACCUGUGGCGAAAGGCCCUGACCAUAACAUACCUGACAGUGGAGGGAUAAAGCUGGGGGAGCGAUCGGGGAUAGGAUUUGGAGAAAUCCGGAUUAUAGGAAUUUUGGGGUUUUUCAACUAAAAACCCCGGUAGUCCCAGCUGUAAACGAUGCUCACUUGGUGUUGCAAAACUCUAGAGGUUUUGCAGUGCCGAAGCGAAGGCGUUAAGUGAGCCACCUGGGGAGUACGACCGCAAGGUUGAAACUUAAAGGAAUUGGCGGGGGAGCACUACAAGGGGUGGAUGCUGCGGUUUAAUUGGAUACAACCCCAGAAAUCUUACCAUAGAAGACAGCAGGAUGAGGGUCACUCUAAAGGGGUUACCUGACAAGCUGAGAUUCGGAGAGCAGACUAGUUUAAGCUAUAUUCUGUUCUUCGAACAGUAAAGAUGCUACAUGGCCGUCGUCAGUUCGUGUCGUGAGAUGUCUUGUUAAGUCAAGAAACGAACGAGACCCAUACUUUUAGUUGCUAUCGUGAUUUACGAAUCACGAGCACUCUAACGGGACUGCCCGCGUUUGAAGUGGGAGGAAGGAGUGGGCGACGGCAGGUCAGCACGGCUCGAAAUCUAUUGGGUUACACGCGGCAUACAAUGCGCAGGACAACGGGUCGCAAUCGCGUAAGCGAAAGCCAAUCUCUUAAACCUGUGCUCAGUUCGGAUCGUGGGCUGAAACUCGCCCACGUGAAGUCGGAAUCCCUAGUAAGCGGAGGUCAUCAUCUUUCGCUGAAUACGUCCCUGCUCCUUGCACACAC